RNAcentral lists this ribosomal RNA (445 nucleotides) under uncultured Rickettsiales bacterium. RNAcentral's name for it is "bacterial SSU rRNA". It matches the Rfam family "Bacterial small subunit ribosomal RNA", at positions 29 to 505 of the family's 1533-position model. The record is from RNAcentral. Lineage: Bacteria; Pseudomonadati; Pseudomonadota; Alphaproteobacteria; Rickettsiales.
AACGAACGCUGGCGGCAUGCUUUAUACAUGCAAGUCGAACGAAAAAUAAAAAGUUUACUUUUUGUUUUUAGUGGCAAACGGGUGAGUAACGCGUAAGAAUUUACCUAUCAGUACGGAAUAACUGCCGGAAACAGUAGCUAAUACCGUAUAUUCUCUAAGGAGGAAAGAUUUAUCGCUGAUAGAUAAGCUUGCGUCAGAUUAGGUAGUUGGUAGGGUAAUGGCCUACCAAGCUUAUGAUCUGUAGCUGGUCUGAGAGGAUGAUCAGCCACACUGGGACUGAGACACGGCCCAGACUCCUACGGGAGGCAGCAGUAGGGAAUAUUGGACAAUGGGCGAAAGCCUGAUCCAGCAAUGCCGCGUGAAUGAUGAAGGUCUUAGGAUUGUAAAGUUCUUUUAGCAGGGAAGAUAAUGACUGUACCUGCAGAAAAAGCUCCGGCUAACUCCG